RNAcentral lists this transfer RNA (85 nucleotides) under Felis catus (domestic cat). It matches the Rfam family "tRNA". Rfam says of the family: Transfer RNA (tRNA) molecules are approximately 80 nucleotides in length. Their secondary structure includes four short double-helical elements and three loops (D, anti-codon, and T loops). The record is from Rfam by way of RNAcentral. RNAcentral also lists the same sequence under 3 other names. Lineage: Eukaryota; Metazoa; Chordata; Mammalia; Carnivora; Felidae.
GCCUGGGUGGCUCAGUCGGUUAAGCAUCUGACUUUGGCUCAGAUCAUGAUCUCCAAAUUUGUGAGUUCAAGCCCCACAUCAGGCU